CAGGUUUGAUCUUUCUCAAAAGUUUUCAUUAUCAUUUUAUUUAAAAGUGUUUUCAGUUCUUGCUUAGCUCGAUUACUUAUGUUAAUUUCUUAUUUUAAAGCUUCAUUUUUGAAAAUGCUUUUUGAGUCUAUUUGUCAGAAGUUGGUAUGGGUCAUCUUCCCCACCACAAGUCUUUAGUAUAUGUCUAAACAUUGUAAUAGUCAAAAAUGAGGAUAUGUUUCUCUUUUUCUUGUUUAUUAAUGCAAACGUACUGGACAGUUUAUUUAAAUGGCCUGGUUUUGUUGUGUUGUUGGUUCGUAUCAGUGAUAAUAAUCGUGACAUUAAGAUGUGGUGACUCUGGAAAAGUCCACUUUUCAAAUAAGCACAGAUGAUGAUAAAAUAACAUAAAUACAGGAUAUCUUGAAAUAACAGAUGAGUCAAGAGUCAAGGCCACAGGACACUGACACAGGGCCAGAGGAGAGAUGUGGCAGACACUAACCUCCACCAGGAACCCUGUGACCAGCCCCUGCAACCACUGCUGACUACUGCUCCUAAAAAUAAUAAAGGGAAAAAAACAAGUAGAAACUAAAAUAUGAAUAAAACACAGACCAUCUUAAUGACAAUAAAUACAAAUAGAUAUAAAACAAGGAACCUAGGCUAACUAGAAUAAAUGAAGAUAAAACAAAUAAAUAUUAAUUAAAAGCUAAGCUAAAAAGUUGGGUCUUGAGCCUGCUGUUACAAACAUGAACAUUCUCUGAGGCCCUGAGGUCCUCCAGCAGGGUGUUCCAAAGACGAGGGCCUUAAUAUUGAAAUGACGCCUCGCUGUGGGUGUGUGUCCUGACUUUUGGAAUGACUAGGAGCCUGCUGCCAGAGGAGGGUAGCGUCUGAAAAGUUUCAUAAGGUAAAAGCAGCUCUGAAAGAUAAGAAGGCCCAAGACCAUUAAGACAUUUAAAAACAAGUGAAAGAACAUUAAAGUCGAUCCUAAAACACACAGGGAGCCAAUGCAAUGAUUACCACUGAUUACCAAUGAUUACCAUUAUUACCACUCUUAUUAUUAUUCGUAGUAGUAGUAGUCAUAGUAGUAAUAGUUCUUUGUUGUUGUUGUUGAUUUAAUUUUUACUAUUAUCAUUGUUAAUUUUUAAUAUGACUACUGUUGCUUAAUUUUCUGCAGCUGUUAUUCAGAGCUUAGAACUGCUCUGUCCUUUAAAGCGUGGGGAAGGAGAAGUAAAGUGGGAGGGUGAAAUACAGCAAACACAGGAAGCUCUAAUUGCAGGAAAUAACCUAGAACAAACACGUGACGUAACUUCACAUCAAAUCUGUGUUUUUUUUUUCUUCGUGUAUUGAAACAUCUGAACUGUUUCCCUUGUGAUUAGAGCUGCAUGAAGGAAUCACAAUUGCUUGGGAUUUUCACAGUUUUUGAUUUUGUGGCACACGAUAAUUUGUUUCAUACUAAUGUCCACAAAUUAUACCUGUUAAGAAAAUGAAUGUUUUGUUGUGUGAAACUAAACUUAACAUUUAACCCUUUUUAAAAAAGUGUGACCAGUUAUAGUUUACUGUCCAAAAGGCCUCCAGAGUCAUACGGCAGUGCUUUUUUACCUCCGCCAAGGAGGUUAUGUUUUUGGUAUUGUUUGUUUGUUUGUUUGUUUGUUUGUUUGUUUGUUUGUUUGUCUGUGAACAACUUUACGGAGAAAGUUACAGAUGGACUGACCUGACAAUUUCACCAGAGGUGCGUCUCAGCCCCAGGAGGAUCACAUUACAUUUUGGUGGUGAUCUGGAUUGCCUUCUGGAUCCAGGAAUUUUUUGAAGGAUUCUUGAUCAUUGUGAGAUAGGGCAAAUUUUUGAAUUUUUGCAUUUAACUCUAUAAAAAUGGCCAGAGUCUUUAGUAAAAAAUGACACAAAUGGAUCUCAAUGAGUUUUAUAAGGUGUCAAAGGUUGAUCCUGAUGCAGACAAAAUUCUGGAUACUGUGAUCCAGAACACACAAAAAUAAGGGGGUCGUUGGAAUUUUCAAUGCUGAAAGAUAACCAAUGGGCGGCACAGUGGUGUAGAUGGGCUGCACGAUGGUGUAGUGGUUAGCACUGUCGCCUCACAGCAAGAAGGUCCUGGGUUCGAAUCCGGGUCAGGGCAUUUCUGUGUGGAGUUGGCAUGUUCUCCCUGUGUCUGCGUGGGUUUACUCCCGGUACUCCAGUUUCCUCCCACAUCCCAAAAACAUGCCUAAGUGGGGUUAGGUUAAUUGGCCACUUCCAAAUUGCCAAUAAGUGUGAAUGUGAGCGUGGAUGGUUGUUCGUCUCUAUAUAUCAGCUCUGUGUUGAACUUGCGACUUGUCCAAGGUGUCCCCUGCCUUCGCCCGAAGAUGCUGGGAUAGGUUCCAGCCCCCCACGUACCAGGGAAUAGGAAUAAACGGUAGAAAAUUAAAAUGGAAAGAUAACCAAUGAAGAUACAAGGAAGUGUACUCUUACAAAUAUUGCAUAAUAAAUCAUGCAUUUAUGUAUCUAAUAUGAAUUUUGUUGUUUUAGGAACAUUAUGAACAGUGAACAUACCAGUUGAAACACAAAUAAAAGUUAAUAAAAGACAGUAACAGAAACAGUAAAAGUUUUGGUGUGAAUCACAAUAUAAGGGGGGACAUGAGCUGCUUGGCGGAGGUCUGCGCUCUCCGAGUGCUUUUCUAGUUAAACUUACACUCAUCUAGUUGUUGUCCUCAAAUUGUUGAGUUUAUGUUAAAAAGGUAGUUGAUCAAGAAAUAUGCUUGAAAAUAUCAAAUAAUAUAAUCAAAAGUGUAACAUUUUUGUUCACAUACUGGCUCAAAUUAGUGCAAGAAUAGUCCGUUCAGGUCAAGUAUUUAACCUUCAUACAUGCACACCCACACUCAUGGCACUGGCUCACCCUGCCUAUUUACAGUAAUCAGCUCACAGUCAUCCCUGAGAGGAGGGGUAGGCAGUAUUUCCAGUUGGUCAUGAACAAGUGUUUAUGAGCAGAUAAGGUGGCAGUUUAGAAGAAACGUUAAACCAUUUGCUGCAAAUAUUGCUGAUGAAAACUUUCACUUUUACCUGGGUGAGAAUUCUUAUUUUCUCUUUCAUACUGAAUGACGUUGUUAUAGGACACUUUACAUUGACUUCAUAUAGAUCAAAAGUAGAGAGGACUGGGACUGAGAACUCAAACUUUCAUUUCAAAACAUUUCAGUCCCUGUUUUAUUUCAAUAUUUGUAAACUGAUCAUGUAAGAAUUUAAUGUCCUCACCAUUUGUUAGCUAUUUACAGCCUUUUUACAACAGAUUAUCUUGUAAUUUCAUUUAGAGGCCUACAUAUAUUUAUAUAUAUAUCUCAGUUCAGUGCUGGCGCAAUAAGGGAUAGUCCAGAGCCAUUUAGGUUUAAAUGGAAAUGUAAGUUCCUAUUACCUUUACAGAUAUAAAAACACUCAAUAAAUAAAUAAAUAAAACAACCACAUGAUCACAGUGUCUGCCAGUAACCACAUGAGUCUGCUGACAGUUGCAAUGUACAACAGCACCACCAGCAUUCAGUCCUCUUCCCUGCAGAUUUACAUUUACCAUCCUGUGCUGGUAUGUGUUGCUCUGGAGUGGAUAUACCAGUUCAACCAGGGACAGCUCACCAACAACUAUAUCUACAUUGUCUUGAUCAAAACUAUUUAGUAACAAAAGCCCCACUGAGGCCACGUCUGAAGUGUUUUCCAGCAUUAUGGCAAUUGCCGGAACUAAAUUAUUCUGCUCUUGAUUAUUAUUAUUAUUAUUAUUAUUAUUAUUAUUAUUAUUAUUAUUAUUGUUGUUGUUAUUGUUAUUCAUAGAAGUAGUAGUUGUGAUAGUAGUAAAAGUUUUUUUUGUUGUUGUUAAUUUUACUUUCACUGUUUUCAUUGUUCUUAUCAUUUUUAUUUUUAAUAUUAUUACUGUGACUUAAUUUCCCAUUUUAGGGUGAAAUAAGAACGGUAAAUUGCUUUUUCAAACAAUAUUUGAGAAUGUGAAGUUACAAAUCACUUUGUAACUCAGUUAUAAAAGGUACUCUAUAAUUAGAGAUCAUGAUUGUUAUUGUUGAUUUAAAAUAGAACAAUUAUGAUCCGGCAAUUAUAUGUUAGUUUUUAAUCUGAUGCAAAAGAGUUGACACAAUGGCUGCAAAAGUGCUGAAAAGUUGUGAAAUGUUAAAUCACCUGAUAGGAAAUCCAGUUAGGUUAACUGGCAACAGGUUAUUGCAAUGAAUGGGUGUUGGGUCUAAAACCUGCCCAAAUACCUGAAAACAUAUAAAAAAGGAGAAAGACAAUGGAAUAUACUCGAGGAGAAUGGACAGAGAUCUUUCUUUUAGUUAUCUCAAUACCACUCUAAGGGUUCUUUCUCUGUCCGGCCUCUUUUAUUUAGGGUUGUCCCUGGUUACACAAUGUUUCUAAAAGGUGGGGAAAAUUGGGCAGUAAAGUAAGCACUCUCAUAAAGCAUAAUAAUGAACAACUUGUGAAUAUGUGAAGGUCAAGGCGGCAUCUAACGAGCUCCUUCUGAUAAGGGUAUCCUCCCCAAAACCUUCCCACGAUUCAUCCGCGGAGGAUACAUCACUCACACACCCACACCUGCUGAUAGGAAAGACACGUCACAGAAAACUGAAAGAAACAUUGUUGUGCUGUGUAGUAAAUCUAUUGGAGAGAGAAGUUAGGAAACACUCUUAUAUGAUAAAAAUACUCUUAUAUAAUGUAUAAAAAGAGGUCAAAGCAGUUUAUACUUGUAGUAUAAACUCUUACAUAAGAAUAUGAGGAAUAAUGAUAACUUCUAUAUACAUUUAUGCACAUUAUUCUAACAAUGGGUAUAAAAGGAGCAUCCUAUUUGCUAAGACUUUUUUUAAGCAAAAAUUGGAAACAGCUCACACUGUCACAAAACUAAACUGAUAAAGAUUAAAGAUAUUGGAAUUUCAUCAUUUGCAGAACAUAAAAUCACAGAACAUAAAAUACUAUGAAAAAAAUCUCUAUCCAAGAAAUGGGGUUUCCUCCCUGGUUCUGACCACAAGAGGGACAGAGGGGAAAGGAAAACAAAAACAAAACUGUCCUGUGGUGUGAGUCAUAUUCUGAAGUUGAUGGGUAACAGGGUUGUUAUAUAAAAUAAAAUCCCCCUGCACUCUG
This 5082-nucleotide long non-coding RNA is filed under the name Xyrichtys novacula (pearly razorfish). The record is from RNAcentral. Lineage: Eukaryota; Metazoa; Chordata; Actinopteri; Labriformes; Labridae.